GCUGAGGUGGCGGAAUAGGCAUACGCACACGUUUGAGGGGCGUGUCCUAUAUAAAAAGAAAGGAUGCGGGUUCGAUUCCCGCCCUCAGCA
RNAcentral lists this transfer RNA (90 nucleotides) under Endomicrobium sp. RNAcentral describes it as "tRNA-Leu". It matches the Rfam family "tRNA". From Rfam's summary of the family: Transfer RNA (tRNA) molecules are approximately 80 nucleotides in length. Their secondary structure includes four short double-helical elements and three loops (D, anti-codon, and T loops). The record is from RNAcentral. Lineage: Bacteria; Pseudomonadati; Elusimicrobiota; Endomicrobiia; Endomicrobiales; Endomicrobiaceae.